This 271-nucleotide ribosomal RNA is filed under the name uncultured prokaryote. RNAcentral describes it as "partial 16S ribosomal RNA". It matches the Rfam family "Bacterial small subunit ribosomal RNA", at positions 524 to 794 of the family's 1533-position model. The record is from RNAcentral.
UACGGAGGAUCCAAGCGUUAUCCGGAUUCAUUGGGUUUAAAGGGUGCGUAGGCGGGCUAUUAAGUCAGUGGUGAAAUCCUGCAGCUUAACUGCAGAACUGCCGUUGAUACUGAUAGUCUUGAGUUUGGUUAAGGUAGGCGGAAUGUGUAAUGUAGCGGUGAAAUGCUUAGAUAUUAGGAGGAACACCGGUGGCGAAGGCGGCUUACUGGACUGUAACUGACGCUGAGUCACGAAAGCGUGGGUAGCAAACAGGAUUAGAUACCCCUGUAGU